This 465-nucleotide ribosomal RNA is filed under the name uncultured bacterium. RNAcentral's name for it is "partial 16S ribosomal RNA". It matches the Rfam family "Bacterial small subunit ribosomal RNA", at positions 28 to 507 of the family's 1533-position model. The record is from RNAcentral.
GACGAACGCUGGCGGCGUGCUUAACACAUGCAAGUCGAGCGGUAAGGCCCCUUCGGGGGUACACGAGCGGCGAACGGGUGAGUAACACGUGAGCAAUCUGCCCAUCACAUCGGGAUAACUCCGGGAAACCGAAGCUAAUACCGAAUACGACCACCUACGGCAUCGGAUGGUGGUGGAAAGUUCCGGCGGUGAUGGAUGAGCUCGCGGCCUAUCAGCUUGUUGGUGGGGUAACGGCCCACCAAGGCUUCGACGGGUAGCCGGCCUGAGAGGGUGACCGGCCACACUGGGACUGAGACACGGCGCAGAAUCCUACGGGAGGCAGCAGUGGGGAAUAUUAGACAGUGGGCGAAAGCCUGAUCCAGCAACGCCGCGUGAGGGAUGACGGCCUUCGGGUUGUAAACCACUUUCAGCAGGGACGAAGCGCAAGUGACGGUACCUGCAGAAGAAGCACCGGCCAACUACGUG